GCUGGGCACGGUGGUACAUGCCUGUAAUCCCAGUGGCUGGGGAGGCUGAGGCAGGAGGAUCUCGAGUUCAAAGGCCAGCAUCAGCAAUUUAGCAAAGCUCUAAGCAACUCAGUGAGACCCUGUCUCUA
RNAcentral lists this small RNA (128 nucleotides) under Marmota monax (woodchuck). The record is from RNAcentral. Lineage: Eukaryota; Metazoa; Chordata; Mammalia; Rodentia; Sciuridae.